UACGUAGGGUGCAAGCGUUGUCCGGAAUUAUUGGGCGUAAAGAGCUCGUAGGCGGUCUGUUGCGUCGGCUGUGAAAACCCGGGGCUCAACUCCGGGCCUGCAGCCGAUACGGGCAGACUAGAGUUCGGCAGGGGAGACUGGAAUUCCUGGUGUAGCGGUGAAAUGCGCAGAUAUCAGGAGGAACACCGGUGGCGAAGGCGGUUCUCUGGGCAUUACCUGACGCUGAGGAGCGAAAGCGUGGGGAGCAAACAGG
Molecule: ribosomal RNA, 253 nt
Filed under: uncultured bacterium
Lineage: Bacteria
Description: partial 16S ribosomal RNA
Rfam family: Bacterial small subunit ribosomal RNA
Source: RNAcentral